Rhododendron vialii is the source of this 280-nucleotide long non-coding RNA. RefSeq lists it as uncharacterized. NCBI's taxonomy places the organism in Eukaryota, Viridiplantae, Streptophyta, Magnoliopsida, Ericales, Ericaceae. The transcript is spliced from 2 exons. The record is from RefSeq and is a predicted model, not a curated record.
AAAAUCCCAUCUCACGUACAGACCACAGACUGAAGUUUUACAUUCUGUAAGGUAAGUUAUGAUGAUUGUCAAAAAGUUGGACCGCAAAUUGGAAAAUAAUAAUAAGAAAAACAGAGUUAGAUGAUCAAGAGGAACCAAAUUCUAAAGCUUCGCAGUCUGGGGUCUCUAAGACAUCAUCAAACAAAAUCAGGAGUAAUAUGUUCAAAGAAGUCUGCAAAUAAAUACUCAAGGACACUGUAAUUGUGGAAAUUCAUAGAGCAUUGCACGCAUGAAAAAAGAA